UCCCCUGUAGCUCAGUUGGUAAAGAAUCUGCCUUCAAUGCAGGAGACCUAGGUUCAAUUCUUGGAUUGGGAA
RNAcentral lists this transfer RNA (72 nucleotides) under Ovis aries (sheep). It matches the Rfam family "tRNA". Rfam says of the family: Transfer RNA (tRNA) molecules are approximately 80 nucleotides in length. Their secondary structure includes four short double-helical elements and three loops (D, anti-codon, and T loops). Lineage: Eukaryota; Metazoa; Chordata; Mammalia; Artiodactyla; Bovidae. The record is from Rfam by way of RNAcentral.